Molecule: long non-coding RNA, 971 nt
Filed under: Homo sapiens (human)
Lineage: Eukaryota; Metazoa; Chordata; Mammalia; Primates; Hominidae
Description: non-protein coding LINC01198:9
Source: RNAcentral
UGCCCGCCCCCUUUGUGACCUCAUACAAAGGCUUGGCUACUACUGCAAAGUUUGGGAUGCACAGUCUACAAAACUGCACAGCCCCUAAGAAUUCCCUCACCUGCCCCCUUUGUGACCUCAUACAAAGGCUUGGCUAAUACUGCAAAGUUUGGGAUGCAGAGUCUACAAAACCCCACAGCCCCUAAGAAUUCCCUCACCUGCCUUCUGCCCUUAGGCUCCGGUAGACUGCAAAUGACCUGCUUUCUUUCUGUUCCCGGGCUGCGUUUGGACCCCUGUCGGACAGUAAAUCCCAAGAAUGGAACAGAUAAGAAGAUACUGAAAUUGGACGGUGCUGCCGUGCGGCUGCCGCAGGACACCUUUAAUAUCCCUGUUUCUCAGGCUGUAGAUGAAGGGGUUCAGCAUGGAGGUGAUCACCGUGUACAUCACUGAGGCCACUGCAGCCUUUCUCGGGGAAGAUGACACAUCUGAACUGAGGUACCCUCCAAAGCCUGUUCCGUAAAAUCAGCAAACAACUGACAGGAUAACUUCAGGAAGUGGGUAUUAAUUCUCACGGUAUAAGUGAAGACAUUAAGCACCAGAGUUUAAGUAGCUUGAUCCACUGAAAGAGAUUCAACUGUGUGGAACCUAUGCCGUGGAGAAUUGCUUUCUGCCAUUGUUAUCGUCCAGCAGUUGCCGAAUAGCUCUGACCUGAGCAAAGCAGUGAAACGCGGUGCUGUUGAGUGGGUUGCCACUGCACCUUUUUCAACUACUCUAGUCUUGUGGAGAAAAUACCCCUUCUAAAUUUUUUCUUCAUUGAAUACUCUCCCUCAGCUCCAGAGUACCAUAUAGAGUUUUCUUGUAUUUUAGAGUUACUGUUUUAUCAAAGUUUACCAGUCUUUUGUAUUACAUUUCUCCUGUCUAAAUCGACUGUGUGGUUUCUACUCAUUAUGGAUAUAGAUUGAUACAAACUCAAUAAAUAUUUUUGAAUGAAU